CCCUUAGAUGUUCUGGGCCGCACGCGUGCUACACUGAGUGGAUCAGCGGGUCAGGUUGCGCGAAAGCGUUUCCUAAUCUUUAAAUCCGCUCGUGAUGGGGAUUGACGGUUGCAAUUUUCUGUCAUGAACGAGGAAUACCUUGUAAGCGCGGGUCAUCAUCCCGCGCUGAAUACGUCCCUGCCCUUUGUACACACCGCCCGUCGCUCCUACCGAUUGAGUGGUCCGGUGAGGCUUUGGGAUCUGAGCGGAAAGAGCGUUUCGCUGUUUCUGCUCGGAAAACUCAGUCGAACCUUAUCAUUUAGAUGAAGGAGAAGUCGUAACA
This 322-nucleotide ribosomal RNA is filed under the name uncultured eukaryote. Its description in RNAcentral is "partial 18S ribosomal RNA". It matches the Rfam family "Eukaryotic small subunit ribosomal RNA", at positions 1470 to 1796 of the family's 1831-position model. The record is from RNAcentral.